RNAcentral lists this ribosomal RNA (602 nucleotides) under Phaeoacremonium parasiticum. Its description in RNAcentral is "eukaryotic LSU rRNA". It matches the Rfam family "Eukaryotic large subunit ribosomal RNA", at positions 38 to 667 of the family's 3401-position model. The record is from RNAcentral. Lineage: Eukaryota; Fungi; Ascomycota; Sordariomycetes; Togniniales; Togniniaceae.
GCAUAUCAAUAAGCGGAGGAAAAGAAACCAACAGGGAUUGCCCCAGUAACGGCGAGUGAAGCGGCAACAGCUCAAAUUUGAAAUCUGGCCUAGGCCCGAGUUGUAAUUUGCAGAGGAUGCUUCGGGCGCGGUGCCUUCUGAGUUCCCUGGAACGGGACGCCAUAGAGGGUGAGAGCCCCGUACGGUUGGACACCUAGCCUGUGUGAAGCUCCUUCGACGAGUCGAGUAGUUUGGGAAUGCUGCUCAAAAUGGGAGGUAUAUCUCUUCUAAAGCUAAAUACCGGCCAGAGACCGAUAGCGCACAAGUAGAGUGAUCGAAAGAUGAAAAGCACCUUGAAAAGGGGGUUAAACAGCACGUGAAAUUGUUGAAAGGGAAGGGCCCAUGACCAGACUUGUGCCCGGCGGAUCACCCAGCGUUCUCGCUGGGGCACUCCGCCGGGUCCAGGCCAGCAUCGGUUCUCGCCGGGGGAUAAAGGCUCUGGGAACGUAGCUCCUCCGGGAGUGUUAUAGCCCUCUGCGUAAUACCCUGGCGGGGACCGAGGUACGCGCUCCGCAAGGAUGCUGGCGUAAUGGUCAUCAGCCACCCGUCUUGAAACACGGACC